This is a non-coding RNA of Rattus norvegicus (Norway rat), 1343 nucleotides long. NCBI's taxonomy places the organism in Eukaryota, Metazoa, Chordata, Mammalia, Rodentia, Muridae. The record is from RefSeq and is a predicted model, not a curated record.
CUACCGCGUCAGGAGGGUAAUCUAUGCGGAUGUCAGAAAGAAGCGGCGUCCGGAUCUCAUCGUAGAACCUGCAGAGGGAGGACAGAGAGGAUCAGGGCCCGGCUGGGCUACAGGUGGUCAGUCCUGAGGUUCCCUGACUUAGAAACUGAUGACCAGGACCAGCUUCGGGUUCAUAGUUAAUGUGUGCCCUGUAAAGCGCUCAUCCACCUGCUAGAACACGGUAUGAGAUGGCCGAAUAGAGGACAUGAGAGUUUCAGGAAACACUGGGUCACAUGCUGCUACCAACCGUAGUGUAUCAGGUCGCUGCAUCCUCACAACCGCUGUUCUCUUCUAAAACUCUUCAAUUAAGAAAAGGAAACCAUAAGACCAUGAGAAGAGGGAAAAAGUCUACAUCUGUAAAGCAGAUACUGUGGCAAACGCUGCCGUGUUCGUGAGUACCGUCAUGAGACGCUUGAGGAAACUCAAGGUGUAUGAAGUUAAGGAUCUUCGAUGUGGUUGCCAUAGCAAAGGCCCUGGGCACAAUGUUUACCCUCGGCUCAGCCCUGGGCAGGAACCUACAUGUCGAAUAUUGCUGCUCCUAAGUUAUCCCAUCAGUGGAACCAGGAUGACAGGCCUGCCUCAUCGGCCCUGAACACUAAACCAGGAACAAGUUGAAAGACGCUCAGAAGGGAGGGAGCGGGGCCCAUGGCUGAUGUGUUUGCUAUCGUUUGGUUCUCAGUGAGAUGCACAAGGAGAAUUCAGAGAAGCACUGGCUUCGGGCAGGGGGUGGUACAGAAUGUGUUUGCUCUAGCCCCCCGCUGGCCUUUCCCUGGGUAUUGUGGACCUUGAUUCAUAUCCUAGAUCCAGACAUCUGCCUCUCCAUCCAUGGGAAACACCCACCACUUUCCAACUCUCCCUUCUAAACCUCUCUCUCUCUCUCUCUCUCUCUCUCUCUCUCUCUCUCUCUCUCUCUCUCUGUGUGUGUGUGUCUCUGUCUCUGUCUCCCUCACUCCCCAGACAUCUUUCCAUCCUGUAACUAGGUUCUCACUUAAGAUCCCACAGUCCAACUCUUGUAUUCCAAAGGAAACUCCAAAAUCCACUGCAGAAAACUAGAAUGGGUGCAUCUGCGUUUACGACUCUCUGUUAUACCCUCUCCCAAAGUGCUUAAUGAGCUGAGGUCUUCUGGCCCGUGCAUGUGUUUGUCCAGCUCCCUGGUGAUCCUUGCUGAAUUACUGUUCCAUACAUUCCCACCAUUUCUUCAUUUUGGGGGCCUGGAAAAGCAGCAGAGUCUAAAGACAUUGCCAGAAAUACAAAGCAGGAGGAGGAAGAGGAGUAGGAGAGGGAAAGAAGAGGAGGAGGAAGAG